GGUUAAGCGACUAAGCGUACACGGUGGAUGCCCUGGCAGUCAGAGGCGAUGAAGGGCGUGCUAAUCUGCGAUAAGCGCCGGUAAGGUGAUAUGAACCGUUAUAACCGGCGAUACCCGAAUGGGGAAACCCAGU
Molecule: ribosomal RNA, 133 nt
Filed under: Salmonella enterica
Lineage: Bacteria; Pseudomonadati; Pseudomonadota; Gammaproteobacteria; Enterobacterales; Enterobacteriaceae
Also listed under: 2 other names
Description: partial 23S ribosomal RNA
Rfam family: Bacterial large subunit ribosomal RNA
Source: RNAcentral